UCCUACGGGAGGCAGCAGUCAGGAAUAUUGCGCAAUGGAGGAAACUCUGACGCAGCGACGCCGCGUGGGUGAUGAAGGCCUUAGGGUCGUAAACCGCUUUCGGCAGGGACGAAGCGAAAGUGACGGUACCUGCAGAAGAAGGUCCGGCUAACUACGUGCCAGCAGCCGCGGUA
Molecule: ribosomal RNA, 173 nt
Filed under: uncultured Kribbella sp.
Lineage: Bacteria; Bacillati; Actinomycetota; Actinomycetes; Propionibacteriales; Kribbellaceae
Description: partial 16S ribosomal RNA
Rfam family: Bacterial small subunit ribosomal RNA
Source: RNAcentral